UCUCUCUUUUUCUUUCUUUGUCCUGUUUUGCUAGGAAAAAUCGAGAGGAAGAAGAAACAGAGCACGGGAUAGAGAGAGAGAGAGAGGGAGAGAGAGAGGUGUCGAGAUGACAAGGAAGAGCUGGACUUUGCUUUGUGGUUCGAUUGUCGACCAAUUUCAGCCCACACUGUGAGCUUUCCAGAGACUCCAAGAUUGUGGUAUUCGGAGUUAUAUAGAGAGAGAACCGAACUUCUGAAGUUGGGCCAUCGCACAGCUCGGGUCUGUUCUGUAACAGCCCGCACCAGCAACUUCGGGAGGCUCGUCAGGCUCGCUCAGACAUCAGAUUGUAGCGAUUUUUAUAAACUUCUAGCUGCGCGAAAGAACCACUUCUUGAUAUCGGAAGUCAGCUCGGAGAACUAGGUAGAGACCUUAGUUAUUUGAUAGGUAUUUGUUUUUUGCAUAGAAUGUAUUUGAAUAUACUACGACCUGGGACUUUUGUGUAGUUGGUUUAGAGUUAUGGGUGAAAAGGACAAUACUCUCUUUGAGAUGUAUAUGCAUAUUAGAGCUUGCUGGGUUGGAUAUAUAUAUAUAUAUAUAUAUACAUUUUUGGGACAUUUGGAAAGUAGGUUUUGAUGUGAAUAGUUUGUGUGAUAUGGGAUAUCGACAAAAUUUAACGGAAGUUCUGCCGAAA
This is a non-coding RNA of Punica granatum (pomegranate), 670 nucleotides long. The record is from RefSeq and is a predicted model, not a curated record. Lineage: Eukaryota; Viridiplantae; Streptophyta; Magnoliopsida; Myrtales; Lythraceae.